This 517-nucleotide ribosomal RNA is filed under the name uncultured Acaulospora. Its description in RNAcentral is "SSU rRNA". It matches the Rfam family "Eukaryotic small subunit ribosomal RNA", at positions 569 to 1085 of the family's 1831-position model. The record is from RNAcentral. Lineage: Eukaryota; Fungi; Glomeromycota; Glomeromycetes; Diversisporales; Acaulosporaceae.
AGCAGCCGCGGUAAUUCCAGCUCCAAUAGCGUAUAUUAAAGUUGUUGCAGUUAAAAAGCUCGUAGUUGAAUUUCGGAAUCUGUCCGUUGGUCGGGCUUAAUUGUCCGUACUGAUGUGAUGGGUUCUUACCUUCUGAAUAACCAGCAUGCCAUUAAUUUAGUGUGUUGGGGAAGCAGGACUAUUACCUUGAAAAAAUUAGAGUGCUCAAAGCAGGCUAGUGCCUGAAUACAUUAGCAUGGAAUAAUAAAAUAGGACGGCAUGGUUCUAUUUUGUUGGUUUCUAGGAUCACCGUAAUGAUUAAUAGGGAUAGUUGGGGGCAUUAGUAUUCAAUUGUCAGAGGUGAAAUUCUUGGAUUUAUUGAAGACUAACUUCUGCGAAAGCAUUUGCCAAGGAUGUUUUCAUUAAUCAAGAACGAAAGUUAGGGGAUCGAAGACGAUCAGAUACCGUCGUAGUCUUAACCAUAAACUAUGCCGACUAGGGAUCGGACGAUGUUAAUUUUAUAAUGACUCGUUCGGCG